This 253-nucleotide ribosomal RNA is filed under the name uncultured bacterium. Its description in RNAcentral is "partial 16S ribosomal RNA". It matches the Rfam family "Bacterial small subunit ribosomal RNA", at positions 524 to 776 of the family's 1533-position model. The record is from RNAcentral.
UACGUAGGGGGCAAGCGUUGUCCGGAAUCAUUGGGCGUAAAGCGCGUGUAGGCGGCUUGGUAAGUCUGCUCUGAAAGCCCGGGGCUCAACCCCGGGAGGCGGGUGGAUACUGUCAAGCUCGAGUCCGGAAGAGGAGAGUGGAAUUCCUGGUGUAGCGGUGAAAUGCGCAGAUAUCAGGAAGAACACCCGUGGCUAAGGCGGCUCUCUAGUACGGUACUGACGCUGAGACGCGAAAGCGUGGGGAGCGAACAGG